Molecule: ribosomal RNA, 254 nt
Filed under: uncultured bacterium
Lineage: Bacteria
Description: partial 16S ribosomal RNA
Rfam family: Bacterial small subunit ribosomal RNA
Source: RNAcentral
UACGUAGGGGGCAAGCGUUGUCCGGAUUUAUUGGGCGUAAAGAGCGUGUAGGCGGUCUGGUAGGUCCGUUGUGAAAACUCGAGGCUCAACCUCGAGACGCCGAUGGAAACCAUCAGACUAGAGUCCGGAAGAGGAGAGUGGAAUUCCUGGUGUAGCGGUGAAAUGCGCAGAUAUCAGGAAGAACACCCCGUGGCUAAGGCGGCUCUCUAGUACGGUACUGACGCUGAGACGCGAAAGCGUGGGGAGCGAACAGG